RNAcentral lists this ribosomal RNA (119 nucleotides) under Vulpes vulpes (red fox). Lineage: Eukaryota; Metazoa; Chordata; Mammalia; Carnivora; Canidae. The record is from RNAcentral.
GUCUACGGCCAUUCCACCCUGAACGUGCCCGAUCUCGGCUGACCUCGGAAACUAGGAAGAGAAAAAACUUAGUUCACCUAGGAAAAAGUACAAAAAAUAAGUUUCCUACUUCGUAGUCA